AAUACCAUUAAUUUUCAUGAACCCCUAAUCUAUAAUGAAUGACUCCAUAUUUAUAUGGAAGACACCAUGCUAGGAUUAGUAACAAGAAUUUAUAAUUCUCCAAAAUGCAAAUAUAAACCAACAUGGAUGGACCAUUGGUAGUUACCGAACCUAAAUUCAAUGCAACAACACCUACAAGAAAACUCUGCAGUACUUACUCGUUAACCUAACACCAGCGCAUUACAGGAAAGAUUUAAAAAAAGAGAAGGAAUUCGGCAAAUGACGGCCCCGCCUGUUUACCAAAAACAUCGCCUCUUGACUUAUAAUAAGAGGUCCAGCCUGCCCAGUGAAUUUUAAACGGCCGCGGUAUCCUAACCGCGCGAAGGUAGCAUAAUCACUUGUUCUUUAAAUGGGGACUCGUAUCAACGGCAUCACGAGGGUUUUACUGUCUCCUCUUUUUGAUCAGUGAAAUUGAUCUUCCCGUGAAGAAGCGGGAAUAAAUUUAUAAGACGAGAAGACCCCAUGGAGCUUUAAACCAAAUAACAACUUAACCACUUAUCCCAUAAUAAAUUUAAGCCCUGUUAUAAGGUUUUUGGUUGGGGUGACCGCGGAGUAAAACACAUCCUCCACGACGAAAAAAACAGAAUUUUUAUUUAAGAACCACACUUCUAGAAAUUAGUAUACUAACGUUUACUGACCCGACAAUCGAUCAACGGACCAAGUUACCCUGGGGAUAACAGCGCAAUCUACUUCAAGAGCUCAUAUCGACAAGUAGGCUUACGACCUCGAUGUUGGAUCAGGGUAUCCCGGUGGUGCAGCCGCUAC
Molecule: ribosomal RNA, 804 nt
Filed under: Polypedates leucomystax (Java whipping frog)
Lineage: Eukaryota; Metazoa; Chordata; Amphibia; Anura; Rhacophoridae
Description: partial 16S ribosomal RNA
Rfam family: Bacterial large subunit ribosomal RNA
Source: RNAcentral